GGGGUUGUGACUCAGUGGCCGAGUGCUUGCCUAGCAAGUAUGAGGCACUGGGUUCGAUUCUCAGCACCA
This 69-nucleotide transfer RNA is filed under the name Ictidomys tridecemlineatus (thirteen-lined ground squirrel). Its description in RNAcentral is "Spermophilus tridecemlineatus (thirteen-lined ground squirrel) tRNA". It matches the Rfam family "tRNA". Rfam says of the family: Transfer RNA (tRNA) molecules are approximately 80 nucleotides in length. Their secondary structure includes four short double-helical elements and three loops (D, anti-codon, and T loops). Lineage: Eukaryota; Metazoa; Chordata; Mammalia; Rodentia; Sciuridae. The record is from Rfam by way of RNAcentral.